This 465-nucleotide ribosomal RNA is filed under the name uncultured bacterium. Its description in RNAcentral is "partial 16S ribosomal RNA". It matches the Rfam family "Bacterial small subunit ribosomal RNA", at positions 338 to 795 of the family's 1533-position model. The record is from RNAcentral.
CCUACGGGUGGCAGCAGUGGGGAAUAUUGCGCAAUGGGCGAAAGCCUGACGCAGCGACGCCGCGUGAGGGAUGAAGGUCUUCGGAUCGUAAACCUCUGUCAGCAGGGAAGAACGGUCACUGUGCUAAUCAGCAGUGAAUUGACGGUACCUGCAAAGGAAGCACCGGCUAACUCCGUGCCAGCAGCCGCGGUAAGACGGAGGGUGCGAGCGUUAAUCGGAAUUACUGGGCGUAAAGCGCUCGUAGGCGGUAUGUCAAGUCAAGGGUGAAAUCCCCGCGCUCAACGUGGGAACUGCCUUUGAAACUGGCAAACUGGAGUGGGUGAGAGGAUAGUGGAAUUCCAGGUGUAGGAGUGAAAUCCGUAGAUAUCGGGAGGAACAUCAGUGGCGAAGGCGACUAUCUGGAACAUAACUGACGCUGAGGAGCGAAAGCGUGGGUAGCAAACAGGAUUAGAUACCCGGGUAGUC